GGAGUCUGGUCCGUGUCUCAGUACCAGUGUGGGGGACCUUCCUCUCAGAACCCCUAAGGAUCGUCGGCUCGGUGGGCCGUUACCCCGCCGACUGCCUAAUCCUACGCAUCCCCAUCCCAUAGCGAUCAAUCUUUGCUCCGAAUCAGAUGUCAUCCUCGGAAUACAUAGGGUAUUAAUCCGCAUUUCUACGGGCUAUGCCCUACUAUGGGGAAGGUUGGAUACGCGUUACUCACCCGUGCGCCGGUCGCCAUCUACCAAAGCAAGCUUCGAUAAUGCUGCCCCUCGACUUGCAUGUGUUAAGCCUGUAGCUAGCGUUCAUC
RNAcentral lists this ribosomal RNA (320 nucleotides) under uncultured Prevotella sp. Its description in RNAcentral is "partial 16S ribosomal RNA". Lineage: Bacteria; Pseudomonadati; Bacteroidota; Bacteroidia; Bacteroidales; Prevotellaceae. The record is from RNAcentral.